AGACGAACCGUCCAAACGUUAUUCGGAAUCACUGGGCUUCAAGGGUGCGUAGGCGGCACGGCAAGUUGGGUGUGAAAGCCCUCGGCUCAACCGAGGAAUUGCGCCCAAAACUGCCGCGCUCGAGGGAGACAGAGGUGAGCGGAACUUAGGGUGGAGCGGUGGAAUGCGUUGAUAUCCUAAGGAACACCGGUGGCGAAAGCGGCUCACUGGGUCUCUUCUGACGCUGAGGCACGAAAGCUAGGGGAGCGAACGGGAUUAGAUACCCCAGUAGUCC
RNAcentral lists this ribosomal RNA (274 nucleotides) under uncultured bacterium. Its description in RNAcentral is "partial 16S ribosomal RNA". It matches the Rfam family "Bacterial small subunit ribosomal RNA", at positions 523 to 796 of the family's 1533-position model. The record is from RNAcentral.